UACAGAGGUCUCAAGCGUUGUUCGGAUUCAUUGGGCGUAAAGGGUGCGUAGGUGGCAUGGUAAGUCGGAUGUGAAAUCCCGGGGCUCAACCCCGGAACUGCAUUCGAUACUGCUGCGCUAGAGUACUGGAGAGGAGAUUGGAAUUUACGGUGUAGCAGUGAAAUGCGUAGAUAUCUGGAGGAAUACCGGUGGCGAAGGCGGCAUCCUGGACCGACAUUGACGCUGAUGAGCGAAAGCUAGGGGAGCAAACGGG
Molecule: ribosomal RNA, 253 nt
Filed under: uncultured bacterium
Lineage: Bacteria
Description: partial 16S ribosomal RNA
Rfam family: Bacterial small subunit ribosomal RNA
Source: RNAcentral